This 54-nucleotide ribosomal RNA is filed under the name Amanita sp. AD-C55022. RNAcentral's name for it is "partial 18S ribosomal RNA". It matches the Rfam family "Eukaryotic small subunit ribosomal RNA", at positions 1778 to 1831 of the family's 1831-position model. Lineage: Eukaryota; Fungi; Basidiomycota; Agaricomycetes; Agaricales; Amanitaceae. The record is from RNAcentral. RNAcentral also lists the same sequence under 1 other name.
GGAAGUAAAAGUCGUAACAAGGUUUCUGUAGGUGAACCUGCUGAAGGAUCAUUA